RNAcentral lists this long non-coding RNA (749 nucleotides) under Fukomys damarensis (Damara mole-rat). RNAcentral describes it as "lncRNA (ENSFDAG00000026220.1)". Lineage: Eukaryota; Metazoa; Chordata; Mammalia; Rodentia; Bathyergidae. The record is from RNAcentral.
UCUAGGUCUGGAAGCCACAUGAAGUUCCCAGGACUCAACGCCUUCUCUCACCUGUCACACUGCCCAUGCUGCUGUGGGUUCACCUAUGUGUGAACCUCAUAGACGCCAACUGUCUGAUGAGAUUGCUUCCAACUGUCUCUCUUCAUGGAGGCUGUCAGUAGGCCAGGCACCCAACCAGGCCUGGCUCUGCCCCUGAUGCUGCACUUUGGAACUCCACUGCCCCAACCACAUGCCCCACGGAAUGGUCUGCUCGGGUGUGGCUGUUCUUUAUUGUCUUUCUGUCAUUGCCUUUGAUGCUCAAAGUCUAAUCUCCUCUGAUAGGAAUGAAUGACCUCCAGUCAGAAGUUCAGGAAUCAUGGGAUCUACCUGCAGCUUUUCUUGGAAGCCUUACAAUUGACAGCCCUUUUCUCACCGUACACUGGAGGCAUCCGCUGAGACGGCCCGCAGGACAAAGGCAAACUUUGCGGGGCGUUUGUCAUCUGCUGAAGCACCCACUUUCUCUGAGCAUUUGAGCUGUUGCUAAAGUCUUCUUGGUGAGUAACCAUGAUAAACAAUCUUAUAUAAAUCAUUUUUAAAAUGUGCAGUUUUGGGAGAAUGAGAUUAUAUUUCCAAAUUAUGAUUACUUGGUCAAGAUGCAAAACAAUUUCAUAACGUUUUCAAAUAUUGCCAGAUUGUUUUCCGAAAAGGAAUACUACCUUAUACCUUACCUUACCAAUGACUGUCUUGGUAUUUAUCCCUACACAGACCCA